GCACGUUAUGGUGGGCGACUCUAAGGAGACUGCCGGUGACAAACCGGACGGAAGGUGGGGAGUGACGUCAAGUCAUCAUGGCCCUUACGGCCUGGGCUACACACGUGCUACAAUGGUCGGUACAAAGGGUUGCCAAGCCGCGAGGUGGAGCUAAUCCCAUAAAACCGAUCGUAGUCCGGAUCGCAGUCUGCAACUCGACUGCGUGAAGUCGGAAUCGCUAGUAAUCGUGAAUCAGAAUGUCACGGUGAAUACGUUCCCGGGCCUU
RNAcentral lists this ribosomal RNA (265 nucleotides) under uncultured Pseudomonas sp. Its description in RNAcentral is "partial 16S ribosomal RNA". It matches the Rfam family "Bacterial small subunit ribosomal RNA", at positions 1121 to 1382 of the family's 1533-position model. The record is from RNAcentral. Lineage: Bacteria; Pseudomonadati; Pseudomonadota; Gammaproteobacteria; Pseudomonadales; Pseudomonadaceae.